This 189-nucleotide non-coding RNA is filed under the name Angelakisella sp. RNAcentral describes it as "6S RNA". It matches the Rfam family "6S / SsrS RNA". From Rfam's summary of the family: E. coli 6S RNA was the first non coding RNA to be sequenced, but its function was unknown until recently. It consists of 184 nucleotides that fold into an extended hairpin structure with a large single-stranded internal bulge. Lineage: Bacteria; Bacillati; Bacillota; Clostridia; Eubacteriales; Oscillospiraceae. The record is from RNAcentral.
ACCCGCCUGCGAUGUGCGUGAUUACUGGUUAAUAUAAUCCAACACUUAUAUUUCGGGAGUCCCGACUCCGAAGGACGAUUGCAGACCUCCCGGCCCCGGCCGGACGAAGGGAGCGUGAAGCCCAGGGCGGACACCCACCUGUCGCAAGACGGGUUUUAUCAUCCAGUGUAACGGCAUUGCGGGUUUUUA